CGCGUAAGCGGCCGAUUAAGUUUGGAGUGAAAGUCCUGCUUUCAAGGUGGGAAUUGCUUUGAAAACUGGUUGGCUUGAGUGCGGAAGAGGCAAGUGGAAUUCCCAGUGUAGCGGUGAAAUGCGUAGAGAUUGGGAGGAACACCAGUGGCGAAGGCGACUUGCUGGGCCGUAACUGACGCUGAUGCGCGAAAGCGUGGGGAGCGAACA
RNAcentral lists this ribosomal RNA (207 nucleotides) under uncultured bacterium. RNAcentral's name for it is "partial 16S ribosomal RNA". It matches the Rfam family "Bacterial small subunit ribosomal RNA", at positions 568 to 774 of the family's 1533-position model. The record is from RNAcentral.